RNAcentral lists this ribosomal RNA (494 nucleotides) under uncultured bacterium. Its description in RNAcentral is "bacterial SSU rRNA". It matches the Rfam family "Bacterial small subunit ribosomal RNA", at positions 903 to 1397 of the family's 1533-position model. The record is from RNAcentral.
AAAUGAAUAGACGGGGGCCCGCACAAGCGGUGGAGCAUGUGGUUUAAUUCGAUGCAACGCGAAGAACCUUACCAGGUCUUGACAUCCAACGAAUCUUUAGGAAACUAGGGAGUGCCUUCGGGAGCGUUGAGACAGGUGGUGCAUGGUUGUCGUCAGCUCGUGUCGUGAGAUGUUGGGUUAAGUCCCGCAACGAGCGCAACCCUUGCUAUUAGUUGCUAACAUUUCGGAUGAGCACUCUAAUGGGACUGCCCGUGACAAGCGGGAGGAAGGUGGGGAUGACGUCAAAUCAUCAUGCCCUUUAUGAUCUGGGCUACACACGUGCUACAAUGGAUGGUACAGAGAGCAGCAAGACCGUGAGGUGGAGCGAAUCUCAUAAAGCCAUUCUCAGUUCGGAUUGAAGUCUGCAACUCGACUUCAUGAAGUCGGAAUCGCUAGUAAUCGCGGAUCAGAACGUCGCGGUGAAUGCGUUCCCGGGCCUUGUACACACCGCCCGU